Molecule: ribosomal RNA, 276 nt
Filed under: unidentified marine bacterioplankton
Lineage: Bacteria
Description: partial 16S ribosomal RNA
Rfam family: Bacterial small subunit ribosomal RNA
Source: RNAcentral
UAACACAUGCAAGUCGAACGAAGGCCCGGAGCUUGCUUCGGUGUCCUUAGUGGCGGACGGGUGAGUAACGCGUGGGAAUUUGCCUUACAGUUCGGAAUAACCACGGGAAACUGUGGCUAAUACCGUAUACGCCCUCCGGGGGAAAGAUUUAUCGCUGUUUGAUGAGCCCGCGUCGGAUUAGCUUGUUGGUGAGGUAAUGGCUCACCAAGGCAACGAUCCGUAGCUGGUCUGAGAGGAUGACCAGCCACACUGGGACUGAGACACGGCCCAGACUCC